CACGGACAAAAACAGCUUUCAUAGGUGGCAUCGACACCCAUUACGGAUGGCUCUAUUACUGUUUCGGAAAGCUUAAUCAGUGAUCAAAUCAACAGUUGACAGAGCUCGUGAGCACCGGCCGCUCGACGUCAGCGUCGCCGCGCGCUCGGCCGGCCGCAGUGGCGCGAGGCCGCCGGCGCGCGCGCACGUGCGCCAUUGCCUCCCAGUGGUGCUGGUGGCGCUGGCGCACAGAGCAUGGCUACUUGCGCCAAUGUACCUACGACAUCCCUAGCAAUCUUAGUAACCAUAUUCGGUCUACAAGAGAAACGCAUCCGCAAGCUUACGCCGCGACCUUAUAUAGACACACUCGUUGUGAGUUUUCAAUUUUUCAUUGUAGAGGUCCUAAACAAAAGAACUCGCGCUGUACUGUGAUACAAACAAGCUUUCACCGACGGAUACCUUGGAUCUAAAGUGUGGAGUGGUCUAGCACUGCGCAGUGUGAGACGUGCAUUUCAUUUAUUUUAUACGACUCCCACUCCCGAUGUUAUGGAACGCAAGUAGUAUUGUCUCGGCGCCCUAUAUGAAUUCGUCUUGUUUGGUGUGGACGCACCAGGUCGGUGCGGCAGACUGCACGAGGAGAGCAGCGGACGCCGCGGGCGGCAGCGGACGCAGCACUCUCGCGCAAACUAAUUUCAAUCGCAAUUCAACGCGGGAAUGCUGCCUGCGUGAUGGUUACCAAGGGCGGUCAAUUUUGAUAAGUAUUUUUAAGUAUUAGUUUUAAUUUAUUUUAACGUAAGCCUAGUUUAAUCGUACUAUUUGUGUUUUAAUAAAACUAUUUUUUUAUUUUCUAUUAUCA
Molecule: long non-coding RNA, 835 nt
Organism: Bicyclus anynana (squinting bush brown)
Lineage: Eukaryota; Metazoa; Arthropoda; Insecta; Lepidoptera; Nymphalidae
Exons: 2
Source: RefSeq, a predicted model, not a curated record